UACGUAGGGGGCAAGCGUUGUCCGGAUUUAUUGGGCGUAAAGAGCGUGUAGGCGGCCGCACAGGUCCGUUGUGAAAACUGGAGGCUUAACCUUCAGACGUCGAUGGAAACCGUGCGGCUAGAGUCCGGAAGAGGAGAAUGGAAUUCCACGUGUAGCGGUGAAAUGCGUAGAGAUCAGGAGGAACACCCGUGGCGAAGGCGGCCCUCUGGCUCGACCCUGACGCUGAGAGGCGAAAGCGUGGGGAGCGAACGGG
This 253-nucleotide ribosomal RNA is filed under the name uncultured bacterium. RNAcentral describes it as "partial 16S ribosomal RNA". It matches the Rfam family "Bacterial small subunit ribosomal RNA", at positions 524 to 776 of the family's 1533-position model. The record is from RNAcentral.